Molecule: non-coding RNA, 24 nt
Filed under: Arabidopsis thaliana (thale cress)
Lineage: Eukaryota; Viridiplantae; Streptophyta; Magnoliopsida; Brassicales; Brassicaceae
Source: RNAcentral
ACGAAUGUCCCGCCUUGAGCGCCC